CCAGACUCCUACGGGAGGCAGCAGUGGGGGAUAUUGCACAAUGGGGGAAACCCUGAUGCAGCGACGCCGCGUGGGCGAAGAAGUAUUUCGGUAUGUAAAGCCCUAUCAGCAGGGAAGAAGAAAUGACGGUACCUGAGUAAGAAGCACCGGCUAAAUACGUGCCAGCAGCCGCGGUAAUACGUAGGGGGCAAGCGUUAUCCGGAUUUACUGGGUGUAAAGGGGGCGCAGACGGCAAUGCAAGCCAGGAGUGAAAGCCCGGGGCCCAACCCCGGGACUGCUCUUGGAACUGCAUGGCUGGAGUACAGGAGGGGCAGGCGGAAUUCCUAGUGUAGCGGUGAAAUGCGUAGAUAUUAGGAGGAACACCGGUGGCGAAGGCGGCUUGCUGGACGAAAACUGACGUUGAGGCUCGAAAGCGUGGGGAGCAAACAGGAUUAGAUACCCCCGUAAAA
RNAcentral lists this ribosomal RNA (449 nucleotides) under uncultured bacterium. Its description in RNAcentral is "partial 16S ribosomal RNA". It matches the Rfam family "Bacterial small subunit ribosomal RNA", at positions 331 to 794 of the family's 1533-position model. The record is from RNAcentral.